GUUUUUCUUCGUCAACCCUCUGUGCACGUUUGGCUUUAGAUCGAGCAGCGGCGCUCCCGAUCCAGUCGGGACAUGUAGGACGACGGCGGCAGGGCUUCGGAAAGCGGGGAAGCGGCGGACGUCGAGGCGAGGUGGACCAGGUCAGGAUCCAGCGCAGUGGCCGGCGCUCCAUGGUCGUGGCGCCUCGGUCUCCUGGGAAGAAGAGACGUGGAAGAGAGAGGAGGUGAGAUGGGGAGAAGAGAAGGCAGAGUAAGGACGGCGCAGAUUCCGGCGGUGGCUCCGGUUGGCGGAUCUAGGCCAACUCUUGAUGGAUUUCCAAUGUGCUGUUGGCCUCUGAAUUUUUUCUGUCGUGUAGCCGCUCACCAUCUUAGCGUGUGCUAUUCACGGAAGCUGGCUCCUCCACUCAGGCCCUCCUCUGCAAUGCCGACGAGGACACUACUUCGUCUGAACCAAUCUUCGCGACCACGUGCAGAUGGAAUUUUCUCAUAUGACAUCAGGGAUGUAGGUUGAUUGGGUGAACAAGCUUCCUGUGAAACAUCCAGAUCUCGGUGGCAGUGCUUCCGUUCAGCAUCCCACGCGGCGACGUCCUCCGGCAUAAUGCCAAAUACCGUCAGGGAGAGAGCAGAGCGGGAGGGGUAUUGGGUCCAUACCAUUUUGGGUGUUGCUAGUGCCAUGAUUGUGGGUAAUACCCACAGAAGAUUCUAUUCUUGUGAGCGGAUUAAACAAAGUUGAGUAAACAUCAUCCAUAGGAGAUACAUGUGGUAAUUAAGUUUAGAGGAGAAAGUGGUUCUUUAUUCUUGUAAUUUUGGUGUAGAUGUCAUACAGGGGCAGAGAACAAUGGUCUUUUGGGAAAGCCUGUUAACUUUUUGGAGCUGCCUGGUAAAUUUUGGUACGAAUUUAUGUUAGUUCUACCUUUCCAUGAUGUUUAAUUGCUCGGUUCUUAAGGAUUUGUAAGAGGAGAUGGAUUUUGGACUACUCUAUUUCGGAUGCCAGUAACGCGGAUCUUCAGAUGAAAAAUAAAAGAGUGUGCA
This 1031-nucleotide ribosomal RNA is filed under the name Triticum aestivum (bread wheat). Its description in RNAcentral is "partial small subunit ribosomal RNA". The record is from RNAcentral. Lineage: Eukaryota; Viridiplantae; Streptophyta; Magnoliopsida; Poales; Poaceae.